This 470-nucleotide ribosomal RNA is filed under the name uncultured Sphingobacteriales bacterium. RNAcentral describes it as "bacterial SSU rRNA". It matches the Rfam family "Bacterial small subunit ribosomal RNA", at positions 906 to 1382 of the family's 1533-position model. The record is from RNAcentral. Lineage: Bacteria; Pseudomonadati; Bacteroidota; Sphingobacteriia; Sphingobacteriales.
GGAAUUGACGGGGCCCGCACAAGCGGUGGAGCAUGUGGUUAAUCGAUGAUACGCGAGGAACCUUACCUGGGCUCAAAUGUAUGUUGACGUAUUCUGAAAGGGAUACUUCUUCGGACAAUAUACAAGGUGCUGCAUGGUUGUCGUCAGCUCGUGCCGUGAGGUGUCGGGUUAAGUCCCAUAACGAGCGCAACCCUAUCAUUAGUUGCCAUCAGGUCAAGCUGGGGACUCUAAUGAAACUGCCUACGCAAGUAGUAAGGAAGGUGGGGAUGACGUCAAAUCAGCACGGCCCUUACGUCCAGGGCUACACACGUGCUACAAUGGCCGGUACAAAGGGCAGCUACCUGGUGACAGGAUGCUAAUCUCAAAAGCCGGUCUCAGUUCGGAUCGGAGUCUGCAACCCGACUCCGUGAAGCUGGAAUCGCUAGUAAUCACGCAUCAGCCAUGGCGCGGUGAAUACGUUCCCGGGCCUU